GUCUACAGCUAUGCCACCCUCAACAAGCCCGAUCCCGUCUGAUCUCGGAAGCUAAGCAGGGUCGGACCUGGUUAGUACUUAGAUGGGAGGUCACAUAGGAGGACCAGGUGCUGUAGGUG
RNAcentral lists this ribosomal RNA (119 nucleotides) under Pteropus alecto (black flying fox). The record is from RNAcentral. Lineage: Eukaryota; Metazoa; Chordata; Mammalia; Chiroptera; Pteropodidae.